ACAGGGUGACAGGUGGUGCAUGGGUUGUCGUCAGCUCGUGUCGUGAGAUGUUGGGUUAAGUCCCGCAACGAGCGCAACCCUCGCCUCUAGUUGCCAGCAUUCGGUUGGGCACUCUAGAGGGACUGCCGGCGACAAGUCGGAGGAAGUGGGAUGACGUCAAAUCAUCAUGCCCCUUAUGACCUGGGCUACACACGUGCUACAAUGGGCGGUACAAAGGGCUGCGAACCCGCGAGGGGGAGCGAAUCCCAAAAAGCCGCUCUCAGUUCGGAUUGCAGGCUGCAACUCGCCUGCAUGAAGCCGGAAUCGCUAGUAAUCGCGGAUCAGCAUGCCGCGGUGAAUACGUUCCCGGGCCUU
This 354-nucleotide ribosomal RNA is filed under the name uncultured Geobacillus sp. RNAcentral describes it as "bacterial SSU rRNA". It matches the Rfam family "Bacterial small subunit ribosomal RNA", at positions 1026 to 1382 of the family's 1533-position model. The record is from RNAcentral. Lineage: Bacteria; Bacillati; Bacillota; Bacilli; Caryophanales; Anoxybacillaceae.